This 75-nucleotide transfer RNA is filed under the name Omnitrophica bacterium RIFCSPHIGHO2_02_FULL_51_18. RNAcentral describes it as "tRNA-Met". It matches the Rfam family "tRNA". Rfam says of the family: Transfer RNA (tRNA) molecules are approximately 80 nucleotides in length. Their secondary structure includes four short double-helical elements and three loops (D, anti-codon, and T loops). Lineage: Bacteria; Pseudomonadati; Candidatus Omnitrophota. The record is from RNAcentral.
GGCGGUGUAGCUCAGCCUGGUUAGAGCAGCGGUAUCAUAAAUCGCAUGUCAGUGGUUCAAAUCCACUCACCGCCA